This 858-nucleotide long non-coding RNA is filed under the name Theobroma cacao (cacao). RNAcentral describes it as "long non-coding RNA (TCAC_LNC002835)". Lineage: Eukaryota; Viridiplantae; Streptophyta; Magnoliopsida; Malvales; Malvaceae. The record is from RNAcentral.
CAACAACACAUGAAUAAUGAUCCAGCGCCGGCUCAACACCAUGUACAACCAUUGAAUCAAAAUAAACACGGCCUUGUUCAACAAGACCCGCGUGACGACACGAAGAGAGCACUCCAAGAAAAGUAAUAGAAUCAGGUUUUAUCUUCUCUUCCUUCAUCUUUUCAAAAAGAUCAAUAGCCUCCAUUGCAAGGCCAUGUUGAGCAUAACCUGCAAUCAUCGAAUUCCAAGACACAAUAUCUUUAUUACCUGCCAUCUUCUUAAAUAUAAACAUUGCAUCUUCAACACUCCCACAUUUACAAUACAUAGAAAUAAGAGCAUUACAAAUAUAACUAUACGAAUCGAAACCCAUCUGAAUUACUUGACAAUGAGCACUUCUCCCUUGCCCCAAAGCUCCACUACCCGUACAAGCUCUCAAAAGACUUGUCAAUGUGAAAUCAUUUGGCUUUAAAGUCAAAUUCUUCAUCAUAUUAUAGAGCUCCAAACACAUAUCAAUCUGCCAUUCUUGCGCGAACCCAGCAAUGAUAGUAGUCCAAGAAACUACAUUUUUAACAGGCAUUUCAUCAAACACUUUGUAAGCCUCCUCCAACUCACCGCAUUUCCCAUAAGAAGUAACCAAAGAACUUCCCACAUAAACGUUUGGGAAGAACCCAGUUUUUAUUGCCAAGCAAUGAUACUGAAUUCCACCAUAAAGAUUACGUUUUGACCCGCAUGAACUUAUGGCAUUUGACAGAACAAUUGGAUUAAAUUUUGAAAUAUCUUUGUUUGUAACAGGAGGAGCUAGGAUUUCAUUGAAGAAGAUUGGGAGAUAUUCUGUUGGUGAAUCUGAAUAAACAAAAUCAUUGACAAAGUGUUGGGCAG